RNAcentral lists this long non-coding RNA (1781 nucleotides) under Salvia miltiorrhiza (redroot sage). RNAcentral describes it as "long non-coding RNA (SMIL_LNC008324)". The record is from RNAcentral. Lineage: Eukaryota; Viridiplantae; Streptophyta; Magnoliopsida; Lamiales; Lamiaceae.
CCGGUCUCUUGCUUUCCAACUAAGCAACGAUGCAUCGAUAUAAAAUUAUUAAAAGAAACGCAAAAUAAAAUUUAGAUAAAAACCUUUUUCUCAGGCGAAAUUUAGAGAAAAACCUUACCGAUUCACAAAUUUUAUCAAAUCCACAACGAUCAUCAAUUCAUCAUCAUCAGCUCAUCACAGAGCUUUUCUGUCCAAAUAAGUUUUCAUUAUCGUCUGCAGCUGUUAUCNAGAUCUGGUUGUUGCAGGAGGUGACCUCUAUUGUUGUGGGUGAUGGAGUGUCGAGUGUAAAAGAUUUUGUAAGAAUUUUUUGAGGUUUGAGGUGCCUUGUUGUAUUAAUUUUGGGUUACUGUAAAAUCACCAUUCAUCUUCAGCAUCAAUGGAUCUGCUGAAAACAGAAGUAGGGAUUAAUUAUGAUCAUCGUGUAUUUAAAAUAAAAUCAGUUAAUGAUCAUCCCAAUAUCGUCUUUUGUUUCAACAGAUUCAUGCAGCUUGGUGGCAUCAUCUUGAUUGAUAUUGGUAAAAAAAAACAAUAAUGAAAGUUAGCAUUGUUGUUACUAUAAUGCAGAAGGUUAUUGCAAUGUAAAUGACUUAGGUUUCCGAGUUUAAGACAAUUAAUUUAAUUUUAUUAUUUGUUCAUUUCCAGAUGCAAUAUCCACAGAGAAAGGAAACAAUGAAAGAAAUGAAUAUUUGGAGAUAAAAAAAAAAUGGAGAUAUAGGAUACGGGCGUCUCUCAAUUUUCCAAGCCGACAUGAAAUUGGAGAUAAUCUAUCUAUCAUAAAACAUUAUACAAUAGUUAAUCAUUAAAGAAGAAACAAUAAAAGUAUAAAACUUUAUUGUUGCUCUCCAUUUUAUAACAGUAUUCAUAUAUGGACCAAAUCUAUAUAAUCUAUACUAAUAUUAAAAGAGUUUUUUUCCUCCAUUUUUUCUCUUUUAUUCUUUCUCUUCUUCCGCUAAUUUUUUCACAAUUUUUUAUAUAAUUUAAUUACUUUUUAAAUAUCAUCAAAUCUGAUUAAUAAAGAAAAAUUUAGCAUGCAUCUUAAAUUUUAGUUUGUGAUAAAAUAUUUAAUAUGACAUAAAAAUUAUUAAAAGUGAAUUUAAAACGAAUAAGUUAUGAAAACUUUAAAAUAUUUUAUUUUCUCUUUCUUCGUUAAAUUUUUACAACUUUUAAUUUAUAUUUGUGUAUAAAAAUAUUUAUUUAUUUAUUAUGACACGUAAUACUCUAUAAUAAUAAUAUGUAAUUAAUUUUCUUUAUUAUUUGUUCAUUUCUUUAUCAUUAUCUUCAAAAAAGAAGAAGAAAACAAUGAAAUAAAUCAAUAUUUUUUAAAAAUAGGAUACGUGCGUCUCUCAAUUUUCCAAGACGACAUGAAAUUGGAGAUAAUCUAUCUAUCAUAAAAUAUUAUACAAUAGUUAAUCAUUAAAUAAGAAACAAUAAAAGUAGUAUUGUUGCUCUCCAUUUCAGAACAGUCUUCAUAUAUGGACCAAAUAGAAAAUAAAAAUAAAAAAUAUUCUUAUAAAUCUCACAUUAACUCUCAUAUACACACCCGGUCUCUUGCUUUCCAACUAAGCAACGAUGCAUCGAUAUAAAAUUAUUAAAAGAAACGCAAAAUAAAAUUUAGAUAAAAACCUUUUUUCUCAGGCGAAAUUUAGAGAAAAACCUUACCGAUUCACAAAUUUUAUCAAAUCCACAACGAUCAUCAAUUCAUCAUCAUCAGCUCAUCACAGAGCUUUUCUGUCCAAAUAAGUUUCAUUAUCGUCUGCAGCUGUUAUCCGAUCAAUCGCCGC